UACGUAGGGGGCAAGCGUUGUCCGGAUUUAUUGGGCGUAAAGAGCGUGUAGGCGGCCAGGGAGGUCCGUUGUGAAAACUCGAGGCUCAACCUCGAGACGCCGAUGGAAACCCCCUGGCUAGAGUCCGGAAGAGGAGAGUGGAAUUCCCGGUGUAGCGGUGAAAUGCGCAGAUAUCGGGAAGAACACCCGUGGCGAAGGCGGCUCUCUGGGACGGUACUGACGCUGAGACGCGAAAGCGUGGGGAGCGAACAGG
This 253-nucleotide ribosomal RNA is filed under the name uncultured bacterium. Its description in RNAcentral is "partial 16S ribosomal RNA". It matches the Rfam family "Bacterial small subunit ribosomal RNA", at positions 524 to 776 of the family's 1533-position model. The record is from RNAcentral.